CCACAGUGAGUACAACUAUCUAGGUCCUGGAGGGGCGAACAAAGUUGAGUGGGUCAGCAAAACAAUGCUUAUAUAAAAACCUUUAUCUUUGAAUAUACUAACCCCUCGCCGUAAAACAAGUAUAGUUUCCUCAAAACAUACUACGUAAGUAUGAAAUCUAGUAUAUCAGCCAUAUAACCAGAAAUAUGCCAAGUAAAUGAUGUAUCAUAUGCCACAAUAAUAAUCAUGUGAUAAUCAAUAUAACUAAGUGCUCAUCCAUCUAAGCUGACACAAAAGUUCGAACAGAUGGUUUCUGACACGAAUAGGACUGGGUGUAAUCAAUAUGCUCUAGUACUACGAUCACGUGAAACUGGUGCAAAAGCACAUCACAUACAAGUCGGAUCGCCCAAUGCAAUCUACCCGACAAGACUGGCACCUAAACUUGGAUCCAAGGUGAGCGAACGGUGCGGAUGUGAACAUACACGUGAAGUAAUGGCCCUGGCCCUGGGGCGAGUACUAACACCGGGUGCAGCAAGAUGAGCAUGUACACAAGCACGUAUGAAUGCCAUGACAGUAAUAUCACAACCAUAUAGCAGCAUUUAUCACAAUUUAUAUCACAAUAAUGAUACUAGGCAAAAUAGGCGUAAAAGUAACAUAAAUAUGCAUUUAUGGAAACUAUAAAUAUAUAUAGGUAUAAAACAACUGCCCACUCACAAGUACGUCGCUGAGUCGUAGCCCCCGAGCCUAGCUUGGCCUCGAAAAUCCUCAGAAUAAGUUUCCCCUAUAUGUGAAAUAAUUAAAUAACAUUAAUUAAAGCACAUAACGGAAACCUAAAUAAAACGCCCAUAGUUUGCUCAAACCUAGGGUGUAAAUAUAUGAAAUCGAUCUACUCGACGACACGAACGCGCACGUACCAACCACGCGCAGGCCGGAGGACAGACGCGCCCCCACACGCCGCCUAAAGGUUCGGUCCACGCGCACCCACGCGCCCCCGCGAGUACACUGUACUCGCCUUCUUUGCGAAAAUCUGCAGUUUUGCAGAUUUUUGGACCAACUUCCAAAGCCCAUAACGAGCUCGAUUCUCAACCAAAUUCACUUCUACAAAAGCCAAAUUAAAGCUAGGAAUGUGAUCUACCAACCCCAAUUUACAGAAAGUUCAAAUAUAGUCCGUGUUGUUCAGAAAUGUGGUCUGAAAGUGGCCAAACGACCACGGCUGAAAUUUUCCAGAAAACUAAAAUUUUCUUCCUAACUUCCAGAGUUCAUUUCUAACUCGUUAAUUAACCAAACUCAGUGAUUCAAAAGCCAUUUUGAAGUUAGGAAUGUAGAGAACAAGUUUGUACCUAGAAGAAGUCCAGUUAUGGUUGAGGUUGACCAGAAAAAUGGUUUGAAAGUGACUAAAUGGCCACGGUUCUUGAACGAAAAACUUCGGGUUCUCCUUCUUCUCGAGUUUCUAGGUAAAACCACACUUUCAAAACACAAACAAAGGAUCAAUAACAACCCAUAGAAGUGAAAUGAAGGUUCUAAGGGUUUCUUAAGGCUUACCUUAGCCAUGCAUGGCUUGAAAACCGUAGUAUCGAACUCGCCGAGUCGGACCUUCCGAGUUGGUAAGUUAAAACUCGUCCAAACUAGAUUUCAAGGACAUGGUUGUGAUCGUGGGACUGAGAUGAUCACAAUGGUGUAAUUUGUUUUUCACGUUUGUGAGUUUUGGUGUGUUUUGUGGUUGUUGCAAAGAGGAAGAAGAAGAAGAAUGUGGCGUGGGAGAGGGAGAAGAAAGAGAGA
RNAcentral lists this long non-coding RNA (1758 nucleotides) under Malus domestica (apple). RNAcentral describes it as "long non-coding RNA (MDOM_LNC019145)". The record is from RNAcentral. Lineage: Eukaryota; Viridiplantae; Streptophyta; Magnoliopsida; Rosales; Rosaceae.